This 6412-nucleotide long non-coding RNA is filed under the name Malus domestica (apple). RNAcentral describes it as "long non-coding RNA (MDOM_LNC009108)". Lineage: Eukaryota; Viridiplantae; Streptophyta; Magnoliopsida; Rosales; Rosaceae. The record is from RNAcentral.
CCUUUUCCCACUAAGUGGGGUCGGCUAUAUGAAUCCUAGAACGCCAUUGCGCUCGGUUUUGUGUCAUGUCCUCCAUUAGAUCCAAGUACUCUAAGUCUUUUCUUAGAGUCUCUUCCAAAGUUGUCCUAGGUCUUCCUCUACCCCUUCGGCCCUGAACCUCUGUCCCGUAGUCACAUCUUCGAACCGGAGCGUUAGUCGGCCUUCUUUGCACAUGUUCAAAAUCACCGGAGCCGAUUUUCUCUCAUAUUUCCUACAAUUUCGGCUACUCCUACUUUACCUCGGAUAUCCUCAUUCCCAAUCUUAUCCUUUCUCGUGUGCCCACACAUCCCACGAGGCAUCCUCAUCUCCGCUACACCCAUUUUGUGUACGUGUUGAUGCUUCACCACCCAACAUUCUGUGCCAUACAACAUCGCUAGCCUUAUUGCCGUCCUAUAAAAUUUUCCCUUGAGCUUCAGUGGCUUACGACGGUCACACAACACGCCGGAUGCACUCUUUCCAUCCAGCUCGUAUUCUAUGGUUGAGAUCUCCAUCUAAUUCUCCGUUCUCUUGCAAGAUAGAUCCUAGGUAGCGAAAACGAUCGCUUUUUGUGAUCUUCGCUAGAUUGCUCCGGUCAUUAGUGUGGAUAAGUAUAUAAAUGGAUAGAGAUAGGAAAGCAAACACAAGAUGUACGUGGUUCACCCAGAUUGGCUACGUCCACGGAAUAGAAGAGUUCUCAUUAAUUGUGAAGGGUUUACACAAGUACAUAGGUUCAAGCUCUCAUUUAGUGAGUACAAGUGAAUGAUUUAGUACAAAUGACAUUAGGAAAUAUUGUGGGAGAAUGAUCUCGUAAUCACGAAACUUCUAAGUAUCGGAGUGUGGUGUCGUCUUGACUUGCCUUAUCUGUCUCAUAGGUAGAUGUGGCAUCUUCUCUGGAAGUACUCUUCCUCCAUCCAGGGGUGGUAUCUUUAACUGGUGGAGAUGCACAAGGUAAUGUAUCAAUUUCACUUGAAGCUUACUUGUAGUUUCAGGCUUGGUCAAGCGCGAUACAAACCAUGUAGUAGGAGUCCCCCAAGUCGCCGAGCUAGGGGGUCUGCUGAAAGAGGUGACAGACAAGGUAAGCAAUCAGAGCUCCGACUGAUUGUUCACCUUCUCCCCAUCUUGCAGCAGCAUGAAGGAUAAAGAGAAGAAAAAUGAGAAGAGAUGAUAUGAGAUACUUUUGCUUUUGAAGAAGUAACUUUCCACAGGCUUAUUCUUGAACUGAGCUGGAGGGUUUUCUGGUUUCCUCCAGAGUAUAAGGCCGACUGAAGAAUUUGAGGGUCAAAACAAGUCCAUCAAAUCUAGAGUACGUUCCACCCUGCUGAUAUGGGAUACUUUUGCUUUUGACAGAGUAAUGAAUGUAUCGGCACGUGUGCUGUUACGCUUGUCUCCACAUGCUUCCUUGUAUCCUUCGCACUUGCCCUAUCUGUUCCUCAAGCAGAUGCAGAAUCUUCCCUGGAAACAUAAGAUGUUGAAGAUGAGUACUCGAGAGCAAUGCCAGGUAAGUAAUCAGGUAAGGGGUUCCAGGCAGUCAAUUCCUGGCUGGAAGCUUGAUUCCAAGUGCUGACUGAUUGCUCUCUUUCUCCUUGUCUUGCAGGUAAAAACAAGGCCAAAAGAAAAGACAGGGAAAAAGCAUGAUAUGGGAUACUCUUGCUUUUAACCCUGAUGAUAUGAGAUAUUCUUGCUCUAGUAUAGCUUGUUUGCAGAGGUAUUAUCGGGGGGAAAGAAAGCUGAAUAUUUCGAAAGGCUUCGUUGGGAGUGCCCUCUCAGAUAUGAUGAAGGGUUGAGCAUUUUUGCAGGUCUGCCUGUCCGUUGGGGAUGGAGGUCGACAUAUAUAGGAGUCUCCCUAACAACAAGUAGUAAUGCUAUUCCUUUACCCUGCUUGGUCAUAGCACGGUAGUGGGAGCUGCCAGUUUCACAUGUUUUAACUCUGUCAGAGCACUUUGAAAAAGUGGUCUGUGGUAUCUGGCUCUCGAGAUUCAAAGAACGAUGCCUCUUCGAUUUUUGAGAAAGCAAUCAUGCUGGGGGUAUGACUCUCGAGAUUCGGAGAGCAGUCUCUUCGAUUUUUGAGGAAGUAAUCAUGUUGGGAGUCUGGCUCUCGAGAUUCGGAGGGCGGUGCCUCUUCGAUUUUGGAGCAAGCAAUCUUGUUGGGAGUGUUGUCUCGAAUGUGAGUAAAGGUUGGGCAUGUUUGCUAGUCUACCUUGCCACGAAGCACAAAGGUUGACACACAGGGACUUUCCAAUUAUCCAGCAAUGGUACUGUUCCUUUACCCUCUCUUCGAUUUUGAGAAAGUAGUCAUGUUGGGAGUCUGGCUCUUGAGAUUCGGAGGACGGUGCCUCUUCGAUUUUGGAGCAAGCAAUCUUAUUGGGAGUGUUUUCUCGAAUGUGAGUAAAGGUUGGGCAUGUUUGCUAGUCUACCUUGCCACGAAGCACAGAGGUUGACACACAGGGACUUUCCAAUUAUCCAGCAGUGGUACUGUUCCUUUACAGUUGUGGGUAAUAAUAUGGUAGCUAGACCUUCAAAAUUUAUGUGUCUAAACUUUUGUUAGUGCUGUUUCUUUGCUAUUCUUUUACCUUUCUUGGUCAGAGCGAUGUAGUGGGAGCUGCAAGCUUCACGUGCUCAACUUUGGCAGAGAACUUUGGCAAAGUUAUUUGUGGUACCCAUGAGCUAUUGUUGCGUGUGGGAAGUGGGUGAUUGAACAGUAAGAUUCAUGUGCUUUCUACUUCACCAGAAGUCUUCGACAGAAUGCCCAUAAUUUCUGCAAAGCUGAGUGUGCGUGUGACAGGUGCUGACAAGGCUAGAAAAGUAGGUGCCUCUUCGAUUUCUGAGAUCGGCCCUCGUGGUCUCUGAGCAGCCCAGCUUUUGAGAAAGCGAGCGCCUCUUCGAUUGAUUCGGAGAACGAUGCCUCAUCGAUUUUUGAGAAAGCAAUCAUGCUGGGGGUCUGGCUCUCGAGAUUCGGGGAGCAGUGUCUCUUCGAUUUUUGAGAAAGUAAUCAUGUUGGGAGUCUGGCUCUCGAGAUUCGGAGGGCGGUGCCUCUUCGAUUUUGGAGCAAGCAAUCUUGUUGGGAGUGUUUUCUCGAAUGUGAGUAAAGGUUGGGCAUGUUUGCUAGUCUACCUUGCCACGAAGCACAGAGGUUGACACACAGGGACUUUCCAAUUAUCCAGCAAUGGUACUGUUCCUUUACCCUCUCUUCGAUUUUUAAGAAAGUAGUCAUGUUGGGAGUCUGGCUCUCGAGAUUCGGAUGACGGUGCCUCUUCGAUUUUGGAGCAAGCAAUCUUAUUGGGAGUGUUUUCUCGAAUGUGAGUAAAGGUUGGGCAUGUUUGCUAGUCUACCUUGCCACGAAGCACAGAGGUUGACACACAGGGACUUUCCAAUUAUCCAGCAGUGGUACUGUUCCUUUACCCUUGUGGGUAAUAAUAUGGUAGCUAGACCUUCAAAAUUUAUGGGUCUAAACUUUGUUAGUGCUGUUUCUUUGCUAUUCUUUUACCCCUUCUUGGUCAGAGCGAUGUAGUGGGAGCUGCAAGCUUCACGUGCUCAACUUUGGCAGAGAACUUUGGCAAAGUUAUCUGUGGUACCCAUGAGCUAUUGUUGCGUGUGGGAAGUGGGUGAUUGAACAGUAAGAUUCAUGUGUUUUCUACUUUCCCAGAAGUCUUUGACAGAAUGCCCAUAAUUUCCGCAAAACUGAGUGUGCGUGUGACAGGUGCUGACAAGGCUGGAAAAGGCUGGAAAAGUAGGUGCCUCUUCGAUUUCUGAGAUCGGCCCUCGUGGUCUCUGGGGAGCCCAGCUUUUGAGAAAGCGAGCGCCUCUUCGAUUUUUUAGAUCGGCCUUCGUGGUCUUUGAGCAGCCCAACUUUUGAGAAAGCAAACGCCUCUUCGAUUUCUGAGAUCAACCCUCGUGAUCUCUAAGCAGCCCAGCUUUUGAGAAAGCAAACGCCUAUUCGAUUUCUGAGCAGGCGCCUCUUCGAUUUCUGAAGCUUCGUCGAGUGCAGAUUUUUAUAGGGGCUGGCAUUAAGUUCCAAAGCACACUUGAAUCUCCACCAGUAGAAGCUUCAUUCUUGCACUUCUAAGAUCUUGAUUUGUCCGACCUCUUCUCUCUUCAACACCUUUGAAAAUGUCUGGCCCCUCCGACCGUCGUCGUUUUGACUUGAACCUUGUUGAAGAGGCAGCCCCGCCUUCUCCAGACAACAUAUGGCGCCCAUCCUUCGUCUCCCCUACUGGUCCUCUUACCGUUGGGGAUUCCGUGAUGAAGAAUGAUAUGACCGCUGCGGUGGUGGCCAGGAACCUUCUCACUCCCAAAGAUAACAGACUACUUUCCAAACGGUCUGAUGAGUUAGCUGUUAAGGAUUCGCUGGCUCUCAGUGUUCAGUGUGCAGGUUCUGUGUCUAAUAUGGCCCAACGCCUAUUUGCUCGAACCCGCCAAGUUGAAUCAUUGGCGGCUGAAGUGAUGAGUCUCAAACAGGAGAUUAGAGGGCUCAAGCAUGAGAAUAAACAGUUGCACCGGCUCGCACAUGACUAUGCUACAAACAUGAAGAGGAAGCUUGACCAGAUGAAGGAAACUGAUGGUCAGGUUUUACUUGAUCAUCAGAGAUUUGUGGGUUUGUUCCAAAGGCAUUUAUUGCCUUCGUCUUCUGGGGCUGUACCGCGUAAUGAAGCUCCAAAUAAUCAACCUCUGAUGCCUCCUCCUUCUAGGGUUCUGUCCAGUACUGAGGCACCAAAUGAUCCCCCUCCGGUGUCUUCUCUUUCUGGGGCUCUACCGACUGCUGAGACUUCUCCUAAGCAACCUUUGUGAAGGCUCCCUCUUGUGUGCUUAUUUUGACUCAUGUAUAUGUACAUAUUUGUAGCUUAUCGGGGAUAUCAAUAAAUAAGCUUUCCUUCAUUUCAACGUAUUGUGUUUAAAUACACCAAAGCCUUCUUCGCUAAGUUCUUUGAAUUUUCUUUUGUUAAAGCUUGUAUGUUGAAGCUUUCUGAGUGGAGCAUGUAGGUUGGGGUAGUGUUCCCUUAAUUUCCCGAGUGAGGAAAACUUCUCGAUUGGAGACUUGGAAAAUCCAAGUCACUGAGUGGGAUCGGCUAUAUGAAUCUUAGAACGCCAUUGUGCUCGAUCCUGUGUCAUGUCCUUCGUUAGAUCCUAAGUACUCUAAGUCUUUUCUUAGAGUCUCUUCCAAAGUUUUCCUAGGUCUUCCUCUACCCCUUCGGCCCUGAACCUCUGUCCCAUAGUCGCAUCUUCUAAUCGGAACGUCAGUAGGCCUUCUUUGCACAUGUCCAAACCACCGUAACCGAUUUUCUCUCAUCUUUCCUUCAAUUUCGGCUACUCCUACUUUACCCCGGAUAUCCUCAUUCCUAAUCUUAUCCUUUCUCGUGUGCCCACACAUCCAACGAAGCAUCCUCAUCUCCGCUACACCCAUUUUGUGUACGUGUUGAUGUUUCACCGCCCAACAUUCUGUGCCAUACAGCAUCGCCGGCCUUAUUGCCGUCCUAUAAAAUUUUCCCUUGAGCUUCAGUGGCAUACGACGGUCACACAACACGCCGGAUGCACUCUUCCACUUCAUCCAUCCAGCUUGUAUUCUAUGGUUGAGAUCUCCAUCUAAUUCUCCGUUCUUUUGCAAGAUAGAUCCUAGGUAACGAAAACGGUCGCUCUUUGGUAUUUCUUGAUCUUCGAUCCUCACCCCUAACUCGUUUUGGCCUCCAUUUGCACUGAACUUGCACUCCAUAUAUUCUGUCUUUGAUCGGCUUAGGCGAAGACCUUUAGAUUCCAACACUUCUCUCCAAAGGUUAAGCUUUGCAUUUACCCCUUCCUGAGUUUCAUCUAUCAACACUAUAUCGUCUGCGAAAAGCAUACACCAAGGAAUAUCAUCUUGAAUAUGUCGUGUUAACUCAUCCAUUACCAACGCAAAAAGGUAAGGACUUAAGGAUGAGCCUUGAUGUAAUCCUACAGUUAUGGGAAAGCUUUCGGUUUGUCCUUCAUGAGUUCUUACGGCAGUCUUUGCUCCUUCAUACAUAUCCUUUAUAGCUUGGAUAUAUGCUACUCGUACUCCUUUCUUCUCUAAAAUCCUCCAAAGAAUGUCUCUUGGGACCCUAUCAUACGCUUUUUCCAAAUCUAUAAAGACCAUGUGUAAAUCCUUUUUCCCAUCUCUAUAUCUUUCCAUCAAUCUUCGUAAGAGAUAGAUUGCCUCCAUGGUUGAGCGCCCUGGCAUGAACCCGAAUUGGUUGUCCGAAACCCGUGUCUCUUGCCUCAAUCUAUGCUCAAUGACUCUCUCCCAGAGCUUCAUUGUAUGACUCAUUAGCUUAAUACCCCUAUAAUUCAUGCAAUUUUGUACGUCGCCCUUAUUCUUGUAGAUAGGCACCAAAGUGCUCAUUCGCCACUCAUUUGGCAUCUUCUUCGUUUUCAAAAUCCUAUUGAA